AACCCGGGACAACCCUUGGAAACGAGGGCUAAUACCGGAUAAUCUUUUGGCUUGGCAUCAAGCCUUAAGAAAAGGUGGCCUCCGAAUAUGCUACCGAUUAUGGAUGGACCCGCGUCUGAUUAGCUAGUUGGUGGGGUAAAGGCCUACCAAGGCGACGAUCAGUAGCCGGCCUGAGAGGGUGAACGGCCACACUGGGACUGAGACACUGCCCAGACUCCUACGGGAGGCAGCAGUGGGGAAUCUUCCGCAAUGGACGAAAGUCUGACGGAGCAACGCCGCGUGUAUGAUGAAGGUCUUCGGAUUGUAAAGUACUGUCUUUGGGGAAGAAUGACUGAUUUGAGAAUAUUGAGUCAGUAUGACGGUACCCAAGGAGGAAGCCCCGGCUAACUACGUGCCAGCAGCCGCGGUAAUACGUAGGGGGCAAGCGUUGUCCGGAAUUAUUGGGCGUAAAGGGCGCGUAGGCGGAUAGUUAAGUCCGGUGUGAAAGAUCAGGGCUCAACCCUGAGAGUGCAUCGGAAACUGGUUAUCUUGAGGACAGGAGAGGAAAGUGGAAUUCCACGUGUAGCGGUGAAAUGCGUAGAUAUGUGGAGGAACACCAGUGGCGAAGGCGACUUUCUGGACUGUAACUGACGCUGAGGCGCGAAAGCGUGGGGAGCAACCAGGAUUAGAUACCCUGGUAGUCCACGCUGUAAACGAUGAGUGCUAGGUGUAGAGGGUAUCGACCCCUUCUGUGCCGCAGUUAACACAAUAAGCACUCCGCCUGGGGAGUACGGCCGCAAGGUUGAAACUCAAAGGAAUUGACGGGGGCCCGCACAAGCGGUGGAGCAUGU
Molecule: ribosomal RNA, 830 nt
Filed under: uncultured bacterium
Lineage: Bacteria
Description: bacterial SSU rRNA
Rfam family: Bacterial small subunit ribosomal RNA
Source: RNAcentral